GAGGCUGAGUUUAGUCUGUAAAAAUCAGCUCGACGUUUUUUAAACCUUUAUUGGGUGAUUAGGGUGUGUUUUAAUGUUCACUUUGGUUUCUUCAUAUGAGUGUUUUUUUUUUUUUCAUUUUCUACGCUGUGUGCCCGUUACAAAAGCAAGAUAUCAGCGUGUUUUCUUGUGGCCAUCAGCAGCGGGAGGUUUUCAACGUGUGAUCUUCACAAAAGCGACGGUGUCGUAGCGUUUACGUUGGGCCUUCAGCAUCUCAGAAGACGUUACCUCGCCGCGAGAAGGACAACAACCCGUGUGGGUUCCCUCCCAGCAACUGAGAUUGCAUUAUAACUCCAAGGAUGGUAGAACUCUCAGAAACAAAAGGCAAAGAACCGUCAGAAAGCAAAGAGCAAGGUUUGUCACCUGACACAUAAACUCCAUGACCUCGACAUUACAACAAAAUAUCGCCAUGUGACCUACAACACCAGUCAUUCUACUCUACCAACAUGGGGCCAGAUAAAAGUCUUAUCACAUCAAACAGAGAAAUUACUACAAGAAGAAGGAAUUCCAAAAAUGACGGGUAAUAUAAUUCUGGCUGCCUUUAUGGUGGUCAGUGCAGUGUCUGUCUCCUGGAUAGACUCCUCAGUGGAAGUUUACACUAAUAAUAGUGCAUUCACACCGGUCCCCAAUGAUGACAGGUUUCCAGCCCAACCAGAAGAAGAAGUCUGCAGAUGUCUCCAAAGAGUCCGAGGACAAGUCCAAAAUCAACGACAAGCAAUGAUGGCAGUGACGAUCCUAGUCAAUAAAAAGGGGGAAGAUGUGGGUGGUAAGCCACCCAGGUGCCGAGGCAAGAGACCGAAGGAAAAACCAGCCAUACAGAGACAGGAGCUGAAGGGACACGGUGAGAAGUGACCAGAAGUCAAGAGUGUGAGCCCUCUGUCAUGCAUGGACAGGGUUACUAGAUGGCUCCUUGGUCUAGCGGUAACGCCAGUGCCUGGGAAGGCACCCAUUACUUAGUGGACCGGGAAAGGGAAUCUCCCUUUCCCCUGGGGAGAGAAGACUCUGCUCCACUACCUCUUGUGCAAGGCCUGACAUGAGUCAGGCCCGCCCACAGCCAUCUGAAGGCCUAAACGUCUCCCUGUGAUGCUAUGCUUCAGCGGUCACACUCCUGGUGUACUUUCAUGUUCUGCUCUGCGCACCUGGCCCCGCAUUCUAGAUAGCAGUAGCAGAAUUAGUGAAAAUACUAAAGUCUUUGAUCUUUCCAAGAAAUACAUAGAAGAAAUAAUGACGUAAGCUGUCCCCUCUCUCUCUCUCCACCUUGGUUACCAAAUAGGGAAGGGCCCCCUGUCCCGUGGACAUGUGACUCGCGUGACCUUACCUAUCAUUGGAGAUGACUCACACUACUUACCCUGCCGCCUUGCCUUGUAUACAAUAAAUAACAGCGCAGCCAGGCAUUCGAGGCCACUACCAGUCUCCGCAUCUUGGUGGUAGUGGUUCCCCGGGCCCAGCUGUCUUUUCUUCUCUC
RNAcentral lists this long non-coding RNA (1504 nucleotides) under Macaca fascicularis (crab-eating macaque). RNAcentral describes it as "lncRNA (ENSMFAG00000048919.1)". Lineage: Eukaryota; Metazoa; Chordata; Mammalia; Primates; Cercopithecidae. The record is from RNAcentral.